Molecule: ribosomal RNA, 158 nt
Filed under: Burkholderia cepacia
Lineage: Bacteria; Pseudomonadati; Pseudomonadota; Betaproteobacteria; Burkholderiales; Burkholderiaceae
Description: partial 16S rRNA
Rfam family: Bacterial small subunit ribosomal RNA
Source: RNAcentral
GGGCUUCACACGUCAUACAAUGGUCGGAACAGAGGGUUGCCAACCCGCGAGGGGGAGCUAAUCCCAGAAAACCGAUCGUAGUCCGGAUUGCACUCUGCAACUCGAGUGCAUGAAGCUGGAAUCGCUAGUAAUCGCGGAUCAGCAUGCCGCGGUGAAUA